This 439-nucleotide ribosomal RNA is filed under the name uncultured bacterium. RNAcentral describes it as "partial 16S ribosomal RNA". It matches the Rfam family "Bacterial small subunit ribosomal RNA", at positions 338 to 795 of the family's 1533-position model. The record is from RNAcentral.
CCUACGGGUGGCAGCAGUAGGGAAUAUUGCUCAAUGGGGGAAACCCUGAAGCAGCAACGCCGCGUGGAGGAUGAAGGUUUUCGGAUUGUAAACUCCUUUUGUUAGAGAAGCUAAUGACGGUAUCUAACGAAUAAGCACCGGCUAACUCCGUGCCAGCAGCCGCGGUAAUACGGAGGAUGCGAGCGUUAUCCGGAUUUAUUGGGUUAAAAGGGUGCGUAGGCGGUCCGUUAAGUCAGCGGUAAAAUUGCGGGGCUCAACCCCGUCGAGCCGUUGAAACUGGCAGACUUGAGUUGGCGAGAAGUACGCGGAAUGCGCGGUGUAGCGGUGAAAUGCAUAGAUAUCGCGCAGAACUCCGAUUGCGAAGGCAGCGUACCGGCGCCAGACUGACGCUGAGGCACGAAAGCGUGGGGAUCGAACAGGAUUAGAUACCCCAGUAGUC